Molecule: ribosomal RNA, 121 nt
Filed under: Carlito syrichta (Philippine tarsier)
Lineage: Eukaryota; Metazoa; Chordata; Mammalia; Primates; Tarsiidae
Source: RNAcentral
GUCUACAGUCAUACCACUCUGAAUGUGCCCCAUCCCAUCUGAUCUCAGAAGCUAAGCAGGAUCAGGCCUAGUUAGUACUUGGAUGGGACAAAGAAAUCUCCAGGAGGAAUCCAUACUGACA